This 1221-nucleotide ribosomal RNA is filed under the name metagenome. Its description in RNAcentral is "SSU rRNA". It matches the Rfam family "Eukaryotic small subunit ribosomal RNA", at positions 4 to 1189 of the family's 1831-position model. The record is from RNAcentral.
CCGGUUGAUCCUGCCAGUAGUGAUAUGCUUGUUUCAAAGAUUAAGCCAUGCAUGUCUAAGUAUAAGCGAACUUAUACAGUGAAACUGCGGAUGGCUCAUUAAAACAGUUUGAAUUUAUUUGAUGAAUGUAUGAGAAUACUACUUGGAUAACCGUAGUAAUUCUAGAGCUAAUACAUGCAACGACGCCCGACCGUUUCACUACGGAAGGGCUGUAUUUAUUGGAUACCAAAACCAUCCUUCCCUCGGGAAGUUUUGUUUGAUGAUUCACAAUAACUGAUCGGAUCGCCACUGUGGCGGCGACAGGUCAUUCAACAUUCUGCCCUAUCAGCUUUCGAUGGUUGUGUAGUGGACAACCAUGGCCAUAACGGGUAACGGAGAAUCAGGGUUCGAUUCCGGAGAAGGAGCUUGAGAAUUGGCUACUACAUCUAAGGAAGGCAGCAGGCGCGCAAAUUACCCAAUCCCGAUUCGGGGAGGUAGUGACAAAAAAUAACAAUACCGGGCCUUUUUGGGCUUGGUAAUUGGAAUGAGGGAGAGUUAAACGGACCAUCGAGUAUCCAUUGGAGGGCAAGUCUGGUGCCAGCAGCUGCGGUAAUACCAGCUCCAAUAGCGUAUAUUAAAGUUGUUGCAGUUAAAAAGCUCGUAGUUGGACUUGUGUGCGCUGUCCGCGGGUGGCCUGCGCCCAAAAGGGCGUUUCGGUUCGGCCCCGGUGGCGCCUUGAAAUCUGCAGCUGGGGGGACGUUGGCCUUAACUGGUCGGCGACCGCACGCCGGCUGCUCGGUUACUGUGAGAAAAUUAGAGUGUUCAAGGCAGGCAUUGGGUGCAAUUGAAUACAUUAGCAUGGAAUAAUAAAAUAUGGCUCCUGCCGUAUUUUGUUGGUUUUGACUGGUGGGAGUAAUGAUUGAUAGGGACGGUUGGGGGUGCUAGUAUUGAGCGGCCAGAGGUGAAAUUCAUGGAUUCGCUCAAGACUAACUUAUGCGAAAGCAUUCACCAAGGACGUCCUCUUUAAUCAAGAACGAAAGUUGGGGGAUCGAAGACGAUCAGAUACCGUCGUAGUCUCAACCAUAAACUAUGUCGACUUGGGAUCGGCGGUAGUUUUUUCAUUAAGACACUGUCGGGACCACGGGAGAAAUCAAAGUGUCUGGACUCUGGGGGAAGUAUGGUCGCAAGGCUGAAACUUGAAGGAAUUGACGGAAGGGCACCACCAGGAGUGGAGCCUGCGGC